UGGUUGAUCCUGCCAGUAGUCAUA
RNAcentral lists this ribosomal RNA (24 nucleotides) under Ribes malvaceum. RNAcentral's name for it is "partial 18S ribosomal RNA". The record is from RNAcentral. Lineage: Eukaryota; Viridiplantae; Streptophyta; Magnoliopsida; Saxifragales; Grossulariaceae.